RNAcentral lists this microRNA precursor (79 nucleotides) under Oryza sativa (Asian cultivated rice). RNAcentral describes it as "miR5801b stem-loop (osa-MIR5801b)". The record is from miRBase by way of RNAcentral. Lineage: Eukaryota; Viridiplantae; Streptophyta; Magnoliopsida; Poales; Poaceae.
UACUAAAUCGUUUCUGAUCGUUGGAUUUAGCUGGAUAAGAUAUGUAUUAUUGGAUCCAGCGAUUGGAAACAAUUUGGUA